CAGCUGUCACAUCUUUCUUCCCUCCAGCUACUGGAUCUAGCAGACAACAGUUUCGUAGGUUCCAUACCAAGAAGUUUGGCCAAUCUAACAGCCAUGAUGCAGCCAAAAGCAGAGUUGAACAUACCCCUGGAAGUCAACUAUCAAGUUCUGGGUAAAUUUGCCAGGUAUGCAUACACAGAGCGAAUAAACAUAAACUGGAAGGGACAGUAUCAUACCUUUGAAGGAACCAUUGCACUUAUGACAGGCAUCGAUCUGUCGAGCAACUACCUUUCUGGUGAAAUCCCUCUGGAGCUAUCAAAUCUUCAAGGUCUCAGAUUCCUAAAUUUUUCAAGAAAUCAUCU
RNAcentral lists this long non-coding RNA (341 nucleotides) under Setaria italica (foxtail millet). RNAcentral describes it as "long non-coding RNA (SITA_LNC004436)". The record is from RNAcentral. Lineage: Eukaryota; Viridiplantae; Streptophyta; Magnoliopsida; Poales; Poaceae.